Molecule: ribosomal RNA, 376 nt
Filed under: uncultured bacterium
Lineage: Bacteria
Description: bacterial SSU rRNA
Rfam family: Bacterial small subunit ribosomal RNA
Source: RNAcentral
AACGAACGCUGGCGGCAGGCCUAACACAUGCAAGUCGAGCGCCCCGCAAGGGAGCGGCGGACGGGUGAGUAACGCGUGGGAACGUACCCUUUGCUACGGAAUAGCCUCGGGGAAACUGGGAGUAAUACCGUAUGUGCCCCUUCGGGGGAAAGAUUUAUCGGCAAAGGAUCGGCCCCGCGUUGGAUUAGGUAGUUGGUGGGGUAAUGGCCUACCAAGCCGACGAGUCCAUAGCUGGUUUGAGAGGAUGAUCAGCCACACUGGGACUGAGACGACGGCCCAGACUCCUACGGGACGGCAGCAGUGGGGAAUCUUAGACAAUGGGCGCAAGCCUGAUCUAGCCAUGCCGCGUGAGCGAUGAAGGCCUUAGGGUUGUAAA